UACGUAGGGGGCAAGCGUUGUCCGGAAUUAUUGGGCGUAAAGGGCGUGUAGGCGGUCCGGUAAGUCAGCUGUGAAAGUCAAGGGCUCAACCCUUGAAUGCCGGUUGAUACUGUCGGGCUAGAGUCCGGAAGAGGCGAGUGGAAUUCCCGGUGUAGCGGUGAAAUGCGUAGAUAUCUGGAGGAACACCGGUGGCGAAGGCGGCAUCCUGGACCGGCAUUGACGCUGAGGAGCGAAAGCCAGGGGAGCAAACGGG
RNAcentral lists this ribosomal RNA (253 nucleotides) under uncultured bacterium. RNAcentral describes it as "partial 16S ribosomal RNA". It matches the Rfam family "Bacterial small subunit ribosomal RNA", at positions 524 to 776 of the family's 1533-position model. The record is from RNAcentral.